This 451-nucleotide ribosomal RNA is filed under the name uncultured bacterium. RNAcentral's name for it is "bacterial SSU rRNA". It matches the Rfam family "Bacterial small subunit ribosomal RNA", at positions 354 to 796 of the family's 1533-position model. The record is from RNAcentral.
GUGGGGAAUCUUCCGCAAUGGGCGAAAGCCUGACGGAGCGACGCCGCGUGGGGGACGAAGGCCUUCGGGUCGUAAACCCCUGUCAGAGGGAAAGAAGGGUACCGGCGUGAAUAGCGCCGGUAUUUGACGGUACCCUCAGAGGAAGCCACGGCCAACUCCGUGCCAGCAGCCGCGGUAAUACGGAGGUGGCAAGCGUUGCUCGGAAUCACUGGGCGUAAAGGGCGCGUAGGCGGGGAGGUAAGUCGGGUGUGAAAUCCCUCGGCCCAACCGAGGAACUGCGCCCGAGACUGCUUCUCUUGAGUCCCGGAGAGGAAGAUGGAAUUCCCGGUGUAGCGGUGAAAUGUGUAGAGAUCGGGAGGAACACCGGUGGCGAAGGCGGUCUUCUGGACGGUGACUGACGCUGAGGCGCGAAAGCGUGGGGAGCAAACGGGAUUAGAAACCCCAGUAGUCC